GAUAAACGCUGGCGGCGUGCCUAACACAUGCAAGUCGAACGUCCUGUGUCUUUCGGGAUGCAGGGAGUGGCGGACGGGUGAGUAACACGUGGGUACCUACCCCCGAGUGAGGACUACCGGCGAGAAAUCGCCGACAAUGCCGCAUACGCUUGCUUGCGCAAGCAAAGCUCUUUGCGGAGAGCGCUCGAGGAUGGGCCUGCGUCCGAUUAGCUGGUUGGUGAGGUAACGGCUCACCAAGGCGACGAUCGGUCGCUGGUCUGAGAGGAUGAUCAGCCAC
RNAcentral lists this ribosomal RNA (277 nucleotides) under uncultured bacterium. RNAcentral describes it as "partial 16S ribosomal RNA". It matches the Rfam family "Bacterial small subunit ribosomal RNA", at positions 28 to 311 of the family's 1533-position model. The record is from RNAcentral.